RNAcentral lists this long non-coding RNA (657 nucleotides) under Mus caroli (Ryukyu mouse). RNAcentral's name for it is "lncRNA (MGP_CAROLIEiJ_G0003728.1)". Lineage: Eukaryota; Metazoa; Chordata; Mammalia; Rodentia; Muridae. The record is from RNAcentral.
UGUGUGCAGACCUAGCUCCUGGGUCUGGAACUUGGCAGAGGUACCUACUACCAAUUCUUGGAAGAACUGUGCGGGUUCCCUGGGCAGAAUCAGACCCAGAGCCAGAAGAAGAAUGCCCUUAGAGAAGGAAAAGGCUGCAUCUCGGACGGCCUUUCCCCCUUAGGUUCAGCAGGAUCCUGCCACCCACUGUGCAGACUUACUGGGACUGUGAACCCUUCCAGUUGCAGGGAGGUCUUAGGGAAACAUAGGGGAUGGGCCUGGCACAAGGACAGUUGUACAGAGCAGCCUGAAGCAGUGCACACAUGAUAGUAUCUGCAGAACACCUAACCAAUGGGCACUGCCCAUUCUCCUGUGCUCUACACUGUACAACGCUGAACCAAUGGGCACUGCCCACUCUCCUGUGCUCUGCACUGUACAAUGCUGAACCAAUGGGUACUGCCCACUCUCCUGCACUCUGUACUAUACAAUGCUGAUCCAAUGGGUACUGCCCACUCUCCUGUCUUCUGCACUGUACAACGCUGAACCAAUGGGCACUACCCACUCUCCUGCACUCUGCACUGUACAACGCUGAACCAAUAGGUACUUGGUUCUAAUAGCAAUAGCAACAGCUUCUCCUGUGCUCUGCACUGUACAAGGCCAACAGCUUCACUCAUCCUU